Trichomycterus rosablanca is the source of this 119-nucleotide long non-coding RNA. RefSeq lists it as uncharacterized. The transcript is spliced from 3 exons. Lineage: Eukaryota; Metazoa; Chordata; Actinopteri; Siluriformes; Trichomycteridae. The record is from RefSeq and is a predicted model, not a curated record.
GCAGAAAUACUGCUGUAUCCUGCCAGAUAGAAAGUCAGGACUGAGGCGCUGGCUGAUGAGGUUGAGGAGCAGGGACAUUUAUUCAGAGUCGCAGUGCACGCUGUGUGCUGAAUCAGAAG